CCUACGGGCGGCUGCAGUGGGGAAUAUUGGACAAUGGGCGAAAGCCUGAUCCAGCCAUGCCGCGUGUGUGAAGAAGGCCUUCGGGUUGUAAAGCACUUUCAGUGGGGAAGAAAGCCUUGGGGCUAAUACCCUCGAGGAAGGACAUCACCCACAGAAGAAGCACCGACUAACUCCGUGCCAGCAGCCGCGGUAAUACGGAGGGUGCGAGCGUUAAUCGGAAUUACUGGGCGUAAAGCGCGCGUAGGCGGUCUGAUAAGCCGGUUGUGAAAGCCCCGGGCUCAACCUGGGAACGGCAUCCGGAACUGUCAGGCUAGAGUGCAGGAGAGGAAGGUAGAAUUCCCGGUGUAGCGGUGAAAUGCGUAGAGAUCGGGAGGAAUACCAGUGGCGAAGGCGGCCUUCUGGACUGACACUGACGCUGAGGUGCGAAAGCGUGGGUAGCAAACAGGAUUAGAUACCCGGGUAGUC
This 465-nucleotide ribosomal RNA is filed under the name Vreelandella stevensii. RNAcentral's name for it is "partial 16S ribosomal RNA". It matches the Rfam family "Bacterial small subunit ribosomal RNA", at positions 338 to 795 of the family's 1533-position model. The record is from RNAcentral. Lineage: Bacteria; Pseudomonadati; Pseudomonadota; Gammaproteobacteria; Oceanospirillales; Halomonadaceae.